CUCAUCUCGAUGUUCCUCUUUGACGAUGAGUUUCCGAAGGCAGUGGUGGAAGCAUAGAGCUAAUGAACUGCUGUGAGCUAAAUGGUGAUGUGGGAAUCUGGACACAUGAGCUUUGCUCCUGCGCUGCCAACUGUUUGCAGAACAGGUCACCUCUUUGGUCUUUCUAUUUCCGCCAAGUGGUCAGGAAAAGAGCAAAGCUGCCUUUCUUGGGCAGAAGAGAAGCAAUUGCAGAGUUAUCUGGAGCAGUGCCAGAAGGUAGCCUUGCAGAUGGACCUCACACUAAACAUGUAUAUAUAUAUAUAUACAGUUACAUACGUUCUCACAUUAAAAAAACCACAACAAAUUAGUCCCAAAGUUUCAGGCUAUUCACUUCUAUGCAGUAGUUCUCAGA
Long non-coding RNA from Grus americana (Whooping crane), 391 nucleotides. RefSeq lists it as uncharacterized. Lineage: Eukaryota; Metazoa; Chordata; Aves; Gruiformes; Gruidae. The transcript has 3 exons. The record is from RefSeq and is a predicted model, not a curated record.